AAUGCCCUUGAAAUUGUUCACGCUACAUGUCGCCCUGCCAUGGCGCGGACUUAAAAAAAAACAAGGAAAUACUCGUUUGGAAAUUGAUCCUCCCAAAUGCGCAUUGAAGCUGUGAGCACAUUGACCGUCAAUAAGUGAUGGGAAAUGGAACGACUUCAACAGAAACUGAGAGAAAGGCGCAUAGUCCUUGGAAAUGUUAUGUAUCUCCUGACUUCAAUGCAAGUUUAACGGGAAUGAAAGCGAGGAAGAGAGAAAAUUGAGAGCUGUACCUGAGU
This 275-nucleotide small RNA is filed under the name Histoplasma capsulatum. RNAcentral describes it as "hypothetical RNA". Lineage: Eukaryota; Fungi; Ascomycota; Eurotiomycetes; Onygenales; Ajellomycetaceae. The record is from RNAcentral. RNAcentral also lists the same sequence under 1 other name.